Molecule: ribosomal RNA, 344 nt
Filed under: bacterium enrichment culture clone ALO1_GLFRUDD03GZVMS
Lineage: Bacteria
Description: bacterial SSU rRNA
Rfam family: Bacterial small subunit ribosomal RNA
Source: RNAcentral
GAGUUUGAUCUUGGCUCAGAUUGAACGCUGGCGGCAUGCCUUACACAUGCAAGUCGAACGGCAGCACGGGAGCUUGCUCCUGGUGGCGAGUGGCGAACGGGUGAGUAAUGCAUCGGAACGUAUCCUGGAUGGGGGAUAACGUAGCGAAAGUUACGCUAAUACCGCAUAUUCUGUGAGCAGGAAAGCGGGGGACCUUCGGGCCUCGCGCUCUUGGAGCGGCCGAUGUCGGAUUAGCUAGUUGGUGAGGUAAAGGCUCACCAAGGCGACGAUCCGUAGCAGGUCUGAGAGGAUGAUCUGCCACACUGGAACUGAGACACGGUCCAGACUCCCUACGGGAGGCAGCA